ACAAACCAUAGAAAAUUUGAACAGAGAAAAAAAAAAUGAAUUCUUUGACACAAGCUUGUUCUCACAGCCACCAUUUCCAUUUCCACCCCAAUUGCUUCACAAACACCAUACAUACCGAAACUAAGAGCAGCAAAAACAAAACCAUCUUUUUCUUCUUCAAACCUUUUUCAAAAUUCCAAUCCCUCACAACCCAAGCUCACCUUGCUUCCUCUAUCCACCCACUGUCGCCACCGCCACCGCCACCAUCCACUAACAAUGCUGUUUUGGACUCAAAGCACACCACCCUUCUUGUGGAAGCUUACCAUGUUCACCGUGGACUGGGAAUCUUGCUCCGGAAACUUGAUAGCGUAGAUGGUGACCCUCUUAGGAUUCUUACUGAAGACGGUGAUUGGCCCAAAGAAUACUUUUGGGCUGUUGUCAAGUUCCUCAAGAAUGCAUCAAGGUUUUCGGAAAUCCUUCAGGUGUUUGACAUGUGGAAGAACAUUGAGAAAUCACGGAUUAGUGAGUUAAACUAUAACAAGAUAAUAUCCUUGUUAGUUGAAGGAGGGAUGAUGGAAGGUGCCAUGUCUACAUUGCAAGGGAUGAAAAUUCAUGGUCUCAAGCCUUCUUUGGACACCUACAAUCCGAUCAUCCACGGUUUCUCCAGAGAAGGUAAAUUCGGCGAAGCUUUGUGUUUUCUUGAUGAGAUGAAAGAAUUUGAUUUAGAGCCAGACACCGAGACUUAUGACGGGUUAAUACGAGCUUAUGGUAAGUUUAAAAUGUAUGAUGAGAUUGGUAAGUGUGUGAAAAAGAUGGAGUUGGUUGGUUGUUCUCCUGAUCAUAUCACUUAUAAUAUACUCAUACAAGAGUAUUCACGCGGUGGGGUACUCCAAAGGAUGGAAAAACUAUAUCAAAGAAUGAUUUCGAAAAGAAUGCGUUUGCAAUCUUCAACAUUGAUUGCAAUGCUCGAUGCUUACACCACAUUUGGUAUGGUUGAAAAGAUGGAAAUGUUUUAUAGAAAAUUGCUGAACUCAAAAACACGUCUAGAUGAUGAUUUGAUACGAAAAGUGGCUGAGGUUUAUAUCAAGAACUACAUGUUUUCUAGGUUAGAGGACCUUGGACUAGAUUUACGUUCAGCAUUCGGUGAAUCUGACCUUGUAUGGUGCCUUCGCCUCCUUUCUUAUGCAUGUCUUCUGAGUCGAAAAGGCAUGGAUAUAAUUGUUCAAGAAAUGCGAGAUGCCAAGGUUCAUUGGAAUGUUACCACUGCCAAUAUCAUCAUGCUGGCUUAUGUGAAGAUGAGAGAUUUCAAGAGGUUGAGAAUUUUGCUAUCGCUAUUCCCAAUGUAUCGAGUGAAGCCUGAUAUAGUCACUGUUGGAAUUUUAUUCGAUGCAAACAGAAUCGGCUUUGAUGGCAGUGGAACUUUAGAAGCAUGGAGAAGAAUGCGGUAUCAUUACCGAGUUGUAGAAAUGGAAACAGAUUCUCUGGUUCUUACUGCAUUUGGUAAAGGCCAUUUUCUAAAAAGCUGCGAAGAAAUGUACUCUUCCCUUCACCCAGAGUAUAGAGAAAGGAAAACAUGGACAUAUCAUGACCUUAUUACUUUAGUAUCAAUGUAUAGUGGCAAGUAACAUUCACUGUAUGAAAACAAAACAGAUAACAAAAGAGUUGGAGUAUGUAAAGAAAGUUUCAAUGUCUCACAUUAUUGUUUAUUGUCUAGUUGGGAUUAGGAGGUUGAAAAAAAAAAAACACUUGUAACUAGCGGUUUAGGAAUUGUAGAAUUAUCAUACAUUACAUUACAAUCAGCUCUGCCACUUGUAAUAUUUUCCGUUUUCAGGUUGUUUCUCCCAGAUUUAAAAUGUGUACCAAGAAAAAAGUAUUUACACUCUUACAAGACAUGUUUCCCUCUCCAACAAAUGGGAUGUUACACGGGCAGAACAUGGUGAUAAUGCUGGCAUGCAUCUCCAUGUACCACAAAUGCUUGCAAUCCCGCCACCACCUCCUAGACAUGGGCCUGCACCUAGAGUAUAUAAGCGAGGUAGAGCUGCUGUGCUCGCGCUGGGACUUACACUAG
This is an RNA transcript of Arachis duranensis, 2047 nucleotides long. It is a transcript of the gene named pentatricopeptide repeat-containing protein At4g14190, chloroplastic, with no coding region annotated. The record is from RefSeq and is a predicted model, not a curated record. The transcript has 3 exons. Lineage: Eukaryota; Viridiplantae; Streptophyta; Magnoliopsida; Fabales; Fabaceae.